CCUACGGGUGGCAGCAGUGAGGAAUAUUGGUCAAUGGACGAGAGUCUGAACCAGCCAAGUAGCGUGAAGGAUGACUGCCCUAUGGGUUGUAAACUUCUUUUAUAUGGGAAUAAAAUGUUCCACGUGUGGGAUUUUGUAUGUACCAUAUGAAUAAGGAUCGGCUAACUCCGUGCCAGCAGCCGCGGUAAUACGGAGGAUCCGAGCGUUAUCCGGCUUUAUUGGGUUUAAAGUGAGCGUAGGUGGAUUGUUAAGUCAGUUGUGAAAGUUUGCGGCUCAACCGUAAAAUUGCAGUUGAAACUGGCAGUCUUGAGUACAGGAGAGGUGGGCGGAAUUCGUGGUGUAGCGGUGAAAUGCUUAGAUAUCACGAAGAACUCCGAUUGCGAAGGCAGUUCACUGGACUGCAACUGACACUGAGGCUCGAAAGUGUGGGUAUCAAACAGGAUUAGAUACCCGGGUAGUC
This 460-nucleotide ribosomal RNA is filed under the name uncultured bacterium. Its description in RNAcentral is "partial 16S ribosomal RNA". It matches the Rfam family "Bacterial small subunit ribosomal RNA", at positions 338 to 795 of the family's 1533-position model. The record is from RNAcentral.